AAAAAAAAGAAAAACUGUGAUAUUAUUUAAGUACCUAUAAUUAAAAUAAGAAUGUUUCAGAUAAUGAAUAAGAUGAUUUAUUGAAAUACAUAAAUUAAGAUGCUGGAAGGUAGCAAGUUAGAGAACGUGUUGGUGCACCUAAUAGGAGAAAUAUGGUUGUCACAGCACGGUAUUUUGGAAACAAACAGAAGAAGAAAUGUCGAACCACUGUUUUCCCUAUCAUUUGAUAAUGGCUAACAGUAACUUAGAGCAGCCACCGGUUAUGUCCUAGCUGCCACUUAUAGAUGCUAGUAUAGGGUAACAUAAGCUACUUGACAACUUUCCUCUGCUAUGGCAUAGCAGACUAUAUAAGGGAGAAGCUAAGGGAAGGAUAUUUUCGUAACAUAGAAAUAUAGUUUUAUUUU
Non-coding RNA from Cinara cedri, 404 nucleotides. Lineage: Eukaryota; Metazoa; Arthropoda; Insecta; Hemiptera; Aphididae. The record is from the annotation of a GenBank genome assembly.